GCUCCAGUGGUGUAGUCCGGCCAAUCAUCCGGCCCUUUCGAGGCCGGGACUCGGGUUCAAAUCCCGGCUGGAGCAC
RNAcentral lists this transfer RNA (76 nucleotides) under Methanococcus maripaludis. RNAcentral describes it as "tRNA-Glu". It matches the Rfam family "tRNA". Rfam says of the family: Transfer RNA (tRNA) molecules are approximately 80 nucleotides in length. Lineage: Archaea; Methanobacteriati; Methanobacteriota; Methanococci; Methanococcales; Methanococcaceae. The record is from RNAcentral.